UGGGGAAUAUUGCACAAUGGGCGCAAGCCUGAUGCAGCAACGCCGCGUGAACGAUGAAGGUCUUCGGAUCGUAAAGUUCUGUUGCAGGGGAAGAUAAUGACGGUACCCUGUGAGGAAGCCCCGGCUAACUACGUGCCAGCAGCCGCGGUAAUACGUAGGGGGCUAGCGUUAUCCGGAUUUACUGGGCGUAAAGGGUGCGUAGGUGGUCUUUCAAGUCGGUGGUUAAAGGCUACGGCUCAACCGUAGUUAGCCUCCGAAACUGGAAGACUUGAGUGCAGGGGAGGAAAGUGGAAUUCCCAGGGUAGCGGUGAAAUGCGUAAAUAUUGGGAGGAACACCAGUAGCGAAGGCGGCUUUCUGGACUGCAACUGACACUGAGGCACGAAAGCGUGGGUAGCAAACAGG
RNAcentral lists this ribosomal RNA (403 nucleotides) under Verrucomicrobiota bacterium. RNAcentral's name for it is "Verrucomicrobia bacterium partial 16S ribosomal RNA". It matches the Rfam family "Bacterial small subunit ribosomal RNA", at positions 355 to 776 of the family's 1533-position model. Lineage: Bacteria; Pseudomonadati; Verrucomicrobiota. The record is from RNAcentral.